CAAAGGUAGUUUGUCAGGAAACAAACUUUUCUGUCUUUAAAAUCCUACAUGCUUAAUCUUUCAAGCUUCUUUAGUUCCUGAGAUCCCGACGUUCAUACGGACGGACAGACACGGGCUUGGUCAGAUCGACUCGGUUAGUGAUUCUGACCUAGAAUAUACAUAUAUACUUUAUAGGGUCGGUAACGCUUCCUUCUACCAUUCAAUAUAUUUUUUAACGAAUUUAGUAUACCCUUUUACUCUACGAGCAACUGGUAAUAAAAAUGCACUAUAACUUCUAUGUUUCUUGUUUCAUAAAAUUUUGUCAGAAACUACAUUGGCAUAUAAAAACCCCAUAUACGUCUGGAUUAUCAUUGACCAUUGAUCAUUGAACUACAAACUCAUUAAUAAAGUCAGCGGCGGCAAAGCCCAUGGUGGUUCUGGUAAAAAAAAAACGUAUAAAACGAAAUCAUCUUGUAAUGUACUAAGCAAGCCAGCUACAGCGAUGGGCAUUAUUACAAUCUGUGCCGAUUUUGUGUCUGACUUAGAGAGUCUGACUUAUCAUCUAACUUACUUAUCAUCGUACUUCUUUGAUCACCCUCAGCUGGCUAAAUCCAACCAGUUCCUAACAUCAAAUGGAACGAAUUAGUCUUCUUUCUUGUACAGGUGGCUUUUAAGACGGAUCGGACCACUAAAUCAUAUAAAUCGAGUUCCCCGACUAUCAGAUACCCGCUACUCAGCUAAUCGAAGUGCGAACGAGAAAUGCAGACAUUUUCUAGAAAUU
Molecule: long non-coding RNA, 760 nt
Organism: Drosophila erecta
Lineage: Eukaryota; Metazoa; Arthropoda; Insecta; Diptera; Drosophilidae
Exons: 3
Source: RefSeq, a predicted model, not a curated record